GUGGGGUGGGGGGGGCGGGCCGGGUUCCCGCCGCUGCUCCGCCCGCCCCAUGGCUCUGCCCGGGGCGCCGGGCGCCGCCCGCCCCGCUCCGCCCGCCCGGCGCCCGGGGAACCGCCGGCCCUGAACCGGCAGCGCUGCCGCCGCCGCGACCGAAGGGAAGUGGCCCCCGGGCUCCUCCUGCGCCAAGCAAAAGCCCUGAGGGAGGAGGAAGAAGAGGAGAAGGAGGAGGAGGAGGAGAAGAGGGGGGGAGGAAGGAAGAAAAGGAAAGGGAGGAAAAAAAAAAGCAGGAGAAGGAAGAGCUUGGGCCGGAGCCAAGGCAGACCUGGAGCGGCCGGAGGGGACCCUGGACUCCCCCAGGACACCUGUGACCAGCUGGGAGACCCCCAG
Dryobates pubescens (Downy woodpecker) is the source of this 387-nucleotide long non-coding RNA. RefSeq lists it as uncharacterized. The transcript has 3 exons. The record is from RefSeq and is a predicted model, not a curated record. NCBI's taxonomy places the organism in Eukaryota, Metazoa, Chordata, Aves, Piciformes, Picidae.